GUAGGGAAUAUUGCGCAAUGGACGAAAGUCUGACGCAGCGACGCCGCGUGAGUGAUGAAGGCCUUAGGGUCGUAAAGCUCUGUUGAAUGGGAAGAAAAAAAUGACGGUACCAUUCGAGGAAGGACCGGCUAACUUCGUGCCAGCAGCCGCGGUAAUACGAGGGGUCCUAGCGUUGUUCGGAAUCAUUGGGCGGAAAGGGUGUGUAGGUGGCCAUGUAAGUCAGGUGUGAAAGCCCCGGGCUCAACCCGGGAAGUGCACUUGAUACUGCGUGGCUUGAGUACCGAAGAGGGUAGUGGAAUUCCAGGUGUAGUGGUGAAAUACGUAGAUAUCUGGAGGAACACCGGUGGCGAAGGCGGCUACCUGGUCGAGUACUGACACUGAGACACGAAAGCAUGGGGAUCAAACAGGAUUAGAAACCCCUGUAGUCC
RNAcentral lists this ribosomal RNA (428 nucleotides) under uncultured bacterium. RNAcentral's name for it is "partial 16S ribosomal RNA". It matches the Rfam family "Bacterial small subunit ribosomal RNA", at positions 354 to 796 of the family's 1533-position model. The record is from RNAcentral.